RNAcentral lists this ribosomal RNA (869 nucleotides) under uncultured archaeon. Its description in RNAcentral is "bacterial SSU rRNA". It matches the Rfam family "Archaeal small subunit ribosomal RNA", at positions 5 to 879 of the family's 1478-position model. The record is from RNAcentral.
CGGUUGAUCCUGCCGGAGGUCACUGCUAUUGGGAUUCGACUAAGCCAUGCGAGUCGAGAGGGUUCGGCCCUCGGCUGACGGCUCAGUAACACGUGGAUAAUCUGCCCUUAGGUGGAGGAUACCCUCGGGAAACUGAGAAUAAUACUCCAUAGGCCUAGGAUGCUGGAAUGCACCUAGGCUGAAAGUUCCGGCGCCUAAGGAUGAGUCUGCGGACUAUCAGGUUGUAGUCAGGGUAAAGACCUGACUAGCCUACGACGGAUACGGGUUGUGAGAGCAAUAACCCGGAGAUGAUAUCUGAGACACGAUAUCAGGCCCUACGGGGCGCAGCAGGCGCGAAAACUUCACACUGUGCGAAAGCACGAUGAGGGAAUCCCAAGUGCUUGCACGUAAGUGUAAGCUGUUUUUCUGUCUAAAACACAGAGAGAGUAAGAGCUGGGUAAGACGGGUGCCAGCCGCCGCGGUAAUACCUGCAGCUCAAGUGGUGGCCGCUAUUAUUGGGCCUAAAACGUUCGUAGCCGGUUUAGUAAAUGCCUGGGUAAAUCGUGUAGCUUAACUAUACGAAUUCCGGGUAGACUGCUGAACUUGAGACCGGGAGAGGCUAGAGGUACUCCUGGGGUAGAGGUGAAAUUCUGUAAUCCUAGGGGGACCACCAGUGGCGAANGCGUCUAGCUAGAACGGGUCUGACGGUGAGGGACGAAGCCCUGGGGCACAAACCGGAUUAGAUACCCGGGUAGUCCAGGGUGUAAACGCUGCUUGCUUGAUGUUAGUUGGGCUCCGAGCCCAACUAGUGUCGGAGAGAAGUUGUUAAGCAAGCUGCCUGGGAAGUACGGUCGCANGGCUGAAACUUAAAGGAAUUGGCGGGGGAGCAC